This 253-nucleotide ribosomal RNA is filed under the name Escherichia coli. RNAcentral's name for it is "partial 23S ribosomal RNA". It matches the Rfam family "Bacterial large subunit ribosomal RNA", at positions 1968 to 2220 of the family's 2925-position model. Lineage: Bacteria; Pseudomonadati; Pseudomonadota; Gammaproteobacteria; Enterobacterales; Enterobacteriaceae. The record is from RNAcentral.
CUUGUCGGGUAAGUUCCGACCCGCACGAAAGGCGUAAUGAUUUGGGCACUGUCUCAACGAGAGACUCGGUGAAAUUUUAGUACCUGUGAAGAUGCAGGUUACCCGCGACAGGACGGAAAGACCCCAUGGAGCUUUACUGCAGUUUGAUAUUGAGUAUCUGUACCACAUGUACAGGAUAGGUAGGAGCCAUUGACUUCGGGACGCCAGUUUCGAAUGAGGCGUUGUUGGGAUACUACCCUUGUGUUAUGGCUAC